CUCAGGGAUCCCGGGAGCCAGGGGAUAUGCUGCCACGGAAGCUGA
This is a small nucleolar RNA of Castor canadensis (American beaver), 45 nucleotides long. The record is from Ensembl. Lineage: Eukaryota; Metazoa; Chordata; Mammalia; Rodentia; Castoridae.